This 253-nucleotide ribosomal RNA is filed under the name uncultured bacterium. Its description in RNAcentral is "partial 16S ribosomal RNA". It matches the Rfam family "Bacterial small subunit ribosomal RNA", at positions 524 to 776 of the family's 1533-position model. The record is from RNAcentral.
UACGUAGGUGGCAAGCGUUGUCCGGAUUUACUGGGCGUAAAGAGCGCGCAGGCGGUCAGAUAAGUCGAAUGUGAAAGCCCCCGGCUCAACUGGGGAGGGUCAUUCGAUACUGCUCGACUCGAAGGCAGGAGAGGGAAGCGGAAUUCCCGGUGUAGUGGUGAAAUUCGUAGAUAUUCGCAAGAACACCAGUGGCGAAGGCGGCUCACUGGCCCGAUACUGACGCUGAGGUGCGAAAGCGUGGGGAGCAAACAGG